This 253-nucleotide ribosomal RNA is filed under the name uncultured bacterium. RNAcentral's name for it is "partial 16S ribosomal RNA". It matches the Rfam family "Bacterial small subunit ribosomal RNA", at positions 524 to 776 of the family's 1533-position model. The record is from RNAcentral.
UACGUAGGGGGCUAGCGUUGUCCGGAAUCAUUGGGCGUAAAGAGCGCGUAGGCGGCCAGAUAAGUCCGGUGUGAAAGUCACAGGCUCAACCUGUGAAUGCCGCUGGAAACUGUCUGGCUAGAGUCCGGAAGGGGCGAGUGGAAUUCCUGGUGUAGCGGUGAAAUGCGCAGAUAUCAGGAGGAACACCAAUGGCGAAGGCAGCUCGCUGGGACGGUACUGACGCUGAGGCGCGAAAGCGUGGGGAGCGAACAGG